Molecule: ribosomal RNA, 1343 nt
Filed under: metagenome
Description: bacterial LSU rRNA
Rfam family: Bacterial large subunit ribosomal RNA
Source: RNAcentral
UGAGUACGAGCGGCUACGGCCGCGAAGUGGGUGAUGUCAAGCUUCCAAGAAAAGCCCUAUACCCGUUAAGGCAUGAUGGCCUGUACCCGAAACCGACACAGGUGGGGUGGUAGAGAAUACCGAGGGGCGCGAGGUAACUCUCUCUAAGGAACUCGGCAAAAUGGCCCCGUAACUUCGGGAGAAGGGGUGCCACCGCGAGGUGGUCGCAGUGAAGAAGCCCAGGCGACUGUUUACCAAAAACACAGGUCUCCGCUAAGUCGCAAGACGAUGUAUGGGGGCUGACGCCUGCCCAGUGCCGGAAGGUUAAGGAAGCUGGUCAGCGCAAGCGAAGCUGGCGACUGAAGCCCCGGUGAACGGCGGCCGUAACGAUAACGGUCCUAAGGUAGCGAAAUUCCUUGUCGGGUAAGUUCCGACCCGCACGAAAGGCGUAACGAUCUGGGCGCUGUCUCGGAGAGAGGCUCGGCGGAAUAGAAUUGUCUGUGAAGAUGCGGACUACGUGCACCCGGACAGAAAGACCCUAUGAAGCUUUACUGUAGCUUGGUAUUGUGCUCGGGCUCGGAAUGCGCAGGAUAGGUGGGAGGCUUUGAUCCAUUGCUUGCGGGUGAUGGUGUGCCACUGGUGAGAUACCACUCUUUCCGAGCUAGAGUUCUAACAGCGACCCGUUAUCCGGGUGCUGGACAGUAUCAGGUGGGCAGUUUGACUGGGGCGGUCGCCUCCUAAAAGGUAACGGAGGCGCGCAAAGGUCUGCUCAGGCUGGUUGGAAAUCAGCCGACGAGUGUAAAAGCAGAAGCAGGCUUGACUGUGAGACCUACAAGUCGAACAGGGAGGAAACUCGGCUUUAGUGAUCCGACGGUUCUGCGUGGAAGGGCCGUCGCUCAACGGAUAAAAGUUACUCUAGGAUAACAGGCUGAUCUCCCCCAAGAGUUCACAUCGACGGGGAGGUUUGGCACCUCGAUGUCGGCUCAUCGCAACCUGGGGCUGAAGUCGGUCCCAAGGGUUGGGCUGUUCGCCCAUUAAAGCGGUACGCGAGCUGGGUUCAGAACGUCGUGAGACAGUUCGGUCCAUAUCCGGUGCACGCGCAGGAAUAUUGAGAGGAUUUCUCCCUAGUACGAGAGGACCGGGAGGAACGCACCUCUGGUGUGCCAGUUAUCGUGCCAACGGUAAACGCUGGGUAGCCAUGUGCGGAGUGGAUAACCGCUGAAAGCAUCUAAGUGGGAAGCCCACCUCAAGAUGAGUAUUCCCAUGGGGUAACCCAGUAAGGUCACGGGAAGAACACCCGUUGAUAGGCUCUACGUGGAAGCGCAGUAAUGUGUGAAGCGGAGGAGUACUAAUAGACCGAGGGC